AGAACGAACGCUGGCGGCAUGCCUAACACAUGCAAGUCGAACGAUGCUUUCGGGCAUAGUGGCGCACGGGUGAGUAACGCGUGGGAACCUGCCUCUUGGUUCGGAAUAACUGCGGGAAACUGCAGCUAAUACCGGAUACGUCGGUCUCUUAUAGUGGGGGAUCGGGAAAGAUUUAUCGCCGAGAGAGGGGCCCGCGUUCGAUUAGGUAGUUGGUGAGGUAACGGCUCACCAAGCCUACGAUCGAUAGCUGGUCUGAGAGGAUGAUCAGCCACACUGGGACUGAGACACGGCCCAGACUCCUACGGGAGGCAGCAGUGGGGAAUAUUGGACAAUGGGCGCAAGCCUGAUCCAGCAAUGCCGCGUGAGUGAUGAAGGCCUUAGGGUUGUAAAGCUCUUUCGGCGGGGACGAUGAUGACGGUACCCGCAGAGAAGCCCCGGCUAACUUCGUGCCAGCAGCCGC
This 460-nucleotide ribosomal RNA is filed under the name uncultured bacterium. RNAcentral describes it as "SSU rRNA". It matches the Rfam family "Bacterial small subunit ribosomal RNA", at positions 26 to 518 of the family's 1533-position model. The record is from RNAcentral.